AUUGAACGCUGGCGGCAUGCUUUACACAUGCAAGUCGAACGGCAGCGCGGGCGUCGGCCUGGCGGCGAGUGGCGAACGGGUGAGUAAUGCAUCGGAACGUGCCCAGUAGUGGGGGAUAGCCCGGCGAAAGCCGGAUUAAUACCGCAUACGACCUGAGGGUGAAAGCGGGGGACCGAAAGGCCUAGCGCUAUUGGAGCGGCCGAUGUCGGAUUAGCUAGUUGGUGGGGUAAAGGCUUACCAAGGCGACGAUCCGUAGCUGGUCUGAGAGGACGACCAGCCACACUGGGACUGAGACACGGCCCAGACUCCUACGGGAGGCAGCAGUGGGGAAUUUUGGACAAUGGGGGCAACCCUGAUCCAGCCCUGCCGCGUGCGGGAAGAAGGCCUUCGGGUUGUAAACCGCUUUUGUUCGGGAAGAAAUCCUCUGGGCUAAUACCCCGGGGGGAUGACGGUACCGGAAGAAUAAGCACCGGCUAACUACGUG
Molecule: ribosomal RNA, 484 nt
Filed under: uncultured bacterium
Lineage: Bacteria
Description: partial 16S ribosomal RNA
Rfam family: Bacterial small subunit ribosomal RNA
Source: RNAcentral